GACGAACGCUGGCGGCGUGCCUAAUACAUGCAAGUAGAACGCACAGUUUAUACCGUAGCUUGCUACACCAUAGACUGUGAGUUGCGAACGGGUGAGUAACGCGUAGGUAACCUGCCUGGUAGCGGGGGAUAACUAUUGGAAACGAUAGCUAAUACCGCAUAAUAUUAAUUAUUGCAUGAUAAUUGAUUGAAAGAUGCAACUGCAUCACUACCAGAUGGACCUGCGUUGUAUUAGCUAGUAGGUGAGGUAACGGCUCACCUAGGCGACGAUACAUAGCCGACCUGAGAGGGUGAUCGGCCACACUGGGACUGAGACACGGCCCAGACGCCUACGGGAGGCAGCAGGAGGGAAUCUUCGGCAAGGGACGAAAGUCUGACCGAGAAACGCCGCGUGAGUGAAGAAGGUUUUCGGAUCGUAAAGCUCGGUUGUAAGAGAAGAACGGGUGUGAGAGUGGAAAGUUCACAAUGUGACGGUAUCUUACCAGAAAGAGACGGCUAACUACGUG
RNAcentral lists this ribosomal RNA (505 nucleotides) under uncultured bacterium. RNAcentral's name for it is "partial 16S ribosomal RNA". It matches the Rfam family "Bacterial small subunit ribosomal RNA", at positions 28 to 507 of the family's 1533-position model. The record is from RNAcentral.